UGGUGGGUAGUUUGACUGGGGCGGUCUCCUCCUAAAGAGUAACGGAGGAGCACGAAGGUUGGCUAAUCCUGGUCGGACAUCAGGAGGUUAGUGCAAUGGCAUAAGCCAGCUUGACUGCGAGCGUGACGGCGCGAGCAGGUGCGAAAGCAGGUCAUAGUGAUCCGGUGGUUCUGAAUGGAAGGGCCAUCGCUCAACGGAUAAAAGGUACUCCGGGGAUAACAGGCUGAUACCGCCCAAGAGUUCAUAUCGACGGCGGUGUUUGGCACCUCGAUGUCGGCUCAUCACAUCCUGGGGCUGAAGUAGGUCCCAAGGGUAUGGCUGUUCGCCAUUUAAAGUGGUACGCGAGCUGGGUUUAGAACGUCGUGAGACAGUUCGGUCCCUAUCUGCCGUGGGCGCUGGAGAACUGAGGGGGGCUGCUCCUAGUACGAGAGGACCGGAGUGGACGCAUCACUGGUGUUCGGGUUGUCAUGCCAAUGGCACUGCCCGGUAGCUAAAUGCGGAAGAGAUAAGUGCUGAAAGCAUCUAAGCACGAAACUUGCCCCGAGAUGAGUUCUCCCUGACUCCUUGAGAGUCCUGAAGGAAC
RNAcentral lists this ribosomal RNA (583 nucleotides) under Escherichia coli. RNAcentral's name for it is "partial 23S ribosomal RNA". It matches the Rfam family "Bacterial large subunit ribosomal RNA", at positions 2259 to 2846 of the family's 2925-position model. Lineage: Bacteria; Pseudomonadati; Pseudomonadota; Gammaproteobacteria; Enterobacterales; Enterobacteriaceae. The record is from RNAcentral.